GUAGGGGGCAAGCGUUGUCCGGAUUCAUUGGGCGUAAAGCGCGUGUAGGCGGUUCAAUAGGUCCGAUGUGAAAACUCGAGGCUCAACUUCGAGAGGCCAUCGGAAACCAUUGGACUAGAGUCCGGAAGAGGAGAGUGGAAUUCCUGGUGUAGCGGUGAAAUGCGCAGAUAUCAGGAGGAACACCGAUGGCGAAGGCAGCUCUCUGGGACGGUACUGACGCUGAGACGCGAAAGCGUGGGGGGAGCGAACAGGAUUAGAUACCCUGGUAGUCCACGCCGUAAACGAUGGGCACUAGGUGUGGGUGGUGUCGACUCCAUCCGUGCCGCAGCUAACGCAUUAAGUGCCCCCCGCCUGGGAGUACGGCCGCAAGGCUA
This 374-nucleotide ribosomal RNA is filed under the name uncultured organism. Its description in RNAcentral is "partial 16S ribosomal RNA". It matches the Rfam family "Bacterial small subunit ribosomal RNA", at positions 527 to 896 of the family's 1533-position model. The record is from RNAcentral.